This 4144-nucleotide long non-coding RNA is filed under the name Physcomitrium patens. Its description in RNAcentral is "long non-coding RNA (PPAT_LNC003414)". The record is from RNAcentral. Lineage: Eukaryota; Viridiplantae; Streptophyta; Bryopsida; Funariales; Funariaceae.
GAGUGAGUGGGUGUGCAAGCAAGCAUUAUGAGAGGGAUAAUAGGUAUCAUUUAUUUUAUUUUCUUUUAUUUUUCUUUUUCUGCUAGUGAUGGCAAAACUGUGGUGGUUCUUGUGGGCUUGUGAUUCAAGAGCCAAGUGGGUGGCCCAUUUCCUUAAGUUAGGUCAAAGCAAGCUAAGCUAAGCAAGCACGCAACUGCAGAAGGGAAUGAAGGUACUCACAACUACUCAUGGUGAGUUGCAGAAUUGGCCCCCUACUUCCAUUCACAAGCAAGUAGAGAGGACAACGAUGAACUAGAAUUAAAAACCAGGUAUACAUUUAUAUAUAUAUAUAUAUAUAUAUAUAUUUGAAGUUGUUUGCAUCUCUUGAAGUCUCUCACUCGGACUUAUAUCAAAGGGAUAUAAUUUGCCACUAGAAGAAUAAGAAAAUGAUGUUUUUUUAAAAAAAAAUAAAAAAAUAAAAUUCUGGGUAGAGGCAUCCAAUGAAAGCAAUGAGUCCUUUUCUUGUUAUGGGGGUUGCCACUUUUGGUUUAAAAAGAAAAAAGUGGCUUGAUUUUGUUGUUGUUGUUGCUAUUCUUUCUUUCUUUUGUUCUUUUGUUCUUUUGUUCUUUUUUUUUUUUUUUUUGAAGAAUGAGAUUCAUUGUUUGCAUGUAAUUGUGAAGACAUUCAUGGCAUGGAUAUUCAUUGACCUCUUAUUGGGCCAUGUGAAGCUUUUGCAAAUAUAAAUUUUCUUCUUCAUCAUCAUCCUCAUGUGAUGCCCAUUACUGGAUGUAAGCUCUAUCUUAUAGGCAAUAUUGACAUGUGACAUGUCCCUUUGUAGAAUUUGUAUAAUUCAGGGAUAAUUAAUGCAUUAGGGAUUGUUAAUUUCAAGGGUUUGAAUUUUAAAAAAGAGUUCACUUCAAUACAUUCCAAAAUUGAUAGGAAAUUUGUUAUUGAUUCUCUCUUCCAAAAAUUCAAAGUCUUAGAGUUGCAUUGCAAUUUUUGUUAAAUGUAUGAUUUCAUGUAUAAUAUAUUAUUACUAAGUUUAAUGGUUUAACCUAGGAAUUCCUCUCAAUGUUAAGGUUUUUAGAGGACUAACCCUAGAAUCUCUCAACUAUGAGAAGAUUGGGUUUGUGCACUUCACUAAUGUUAAAAUUGGGGCUUGACCUUUUAGAGUGAAGUGAUUCUUACAUGUUAAUACAUAUUUGCCAAUGAUAAUCAACUAUGAUGCUUACUCAUGGGAAGUUUUGGAAACUACCUCUUAAAAGGAGCACCCUCAAAAAGAAUGAAGAUUCCUUGUUCACUUGUGGAUGAAAAAGAAUCUCUAUUUAAAGCAAAAUACAAAUCUAACAAAUGGUCUUAAUACAAAGGGCUUCUGGCAUUCACAAUGGAACUCAACCAAGCAAAAACUAUUUUUAAAUGGUGUGGGCCAAUACAUGGAAUAUUUUGUAAGUAGUGCACUUUGGAAUGUCAAUUGAUACAAAGUUGCAUAUCCAGCAUGAAACUAUGUGUCCUACCAAUUUACAUGCCACAUCAAAAUGACUUAUCAAAAAUCAAAAAAAUAUUGAUUCAGAUACAUUAUUUCACAACUACAUGAUAUGUGUUUCCAACAUGUAACUUACAAAUCACAUACCCAAACUUUCCUCACACCAAAGCUUUAUUAUCAGAAUUCAUUCAAACACAACAAUCUAAAUAAAUAAAUAAAUAAAAACAUCAUUCAUACAUGGAUGAGAUAGUUGUAUCAAUUUAAGAUAUUUUACACAAUACCCAAAUGACCAACAUCACAUUUAACAAAAUAUAGACAGUGAUAUCAUAUUUCAGUGAAAAAUAUGAAACCCAUUAUUCAUUUUCUUUGCAAAUUAUAUAUAUAUAUAUAUAUAUAUAUAUAUAUUCACAUACACAUAUUUUUUUAUUAAAGAAAAUACAAAAAAACUUACAGAAUAUUUUUACAAAAUUAAGAAACAAAUCACCCAGGAAAGAGCUGUUGGUGAGCUCUCCUUGUCAUGCCCAGCUUCUUCUUUGUGCAAACCAAGGCAAGCAAAGGUUGCCAUCCCCCUCCCCUUGUAAGCAAAUUUUAGUGAUCUAAACUUAAAACUCACUCUCACUCUCUCUCACACACAUAUACAACUGUACUGGGCCUCCAGUUCUGCCUCCAAUCCCCAGGUCUCUCUAGCCCUCGAUUCUCUCAACUCCCAUUCAAGUUUGUUGGCUGUGUCAGACGCGAGGCACAGACAUAAAACAAAAGAAAACUAAACUAAAUUAAAUUAAAUUACUAAGUCAGAUGUUGCCAAAAACUGGCGUUUAAACUCAUGGGAAGUGAAAGUGUGCAUGUCUUUUUUACCAUGUGAGCUAAUUGAGGAGAAUAUGUCAAUCAAAACCUUUUGUUUUCAGAGGUCUAGAAUGAUUCAAAGCUCAGAGAGAGAGAGAGAGAGAGAGAGAGAGAGGUAGCUUAUUUUCAGAAGAGCAAACUAACACCCAAAAUUAUGUUGGAGGUUCAAAUUUCUAGCAAUGAAAUCACAACCAUGCCCGAUGGAAGCCAACAGUGUAUAAAAAAAUGUAUAAAAAAUUUGUAUAGUUGGAGAGAUGUAGAUUGUGGUAGAAGGGUAUGUGUAUGGGGAUGUGGGGGGUUGUUGUAUGUGAGGGUGUGUGAGACAGAUGCAUGGCUUUGUGGUAAAAACAAAGUCACAAGGCAGAGAGAAUGGCAGUGGCCACAAGGCAAACAAACAGGACUUCUCUCUGUCACCAGCAGCACAAACAAACACUAACUGCUCUCUUGUGUAUACACAUGAUGCAGAGGUUUAUUUUUAAAACAAUUUUGUCACUCCCACGAGAAGGCUACAAAGGGGUCAAUACUAGGAGCAACUCUUGACCAGUUUGAACAGGACGACUCCUCAUUACCUUUUCUACCAUGUGGACAUGGGGAGUAAAUAUAUAUACCCAAUAUAUAUACAUAUAGUACGAGUUCUUUUCUAUCUUAUUUUAACUUUUGGGCUCAAACUUUGCAGCCCAAUUUCUGGUACCUAAACACAUGAUUUUUCAUGGUAUUCUGGUGCCCUAGUCCCUGUUUUGAUGCCCUACCAUUGCACGUAAUAGCAGACUUGGCUUCUACAACACGUAAAGAUCUUUUGCGGUGAUUCUCUUUGGCUCCCUCUUCAUCUGUUUAAUACAAGAUCUUGCAGGCUUUUUAUUGUGUGAACUUGAAGUGGUUGUAUGGACAAUAUGUUCCCAUCCAUUUCAUCCUCGUGCCCUAAAGUUCAUCGGUGCUCGAACCUCACAUCCCAAUUUGUUGCACCUAAAGCAAUCUUCAUGGUUUGUUUGUAGUGUCCUAAUCUUUACUUUGAUGCCCUAAUAUUACAUCUAAUUGUAGUUUUGUCUUCAUUGUUGAGCAACAUUUUGUGGAGGUGAUUCUCUUUAGUUUCUUCAAGGUGGUAUACUUUGCCCCUCUUUCUUGUUGUUGUAGCCAUGUGGUAUCUAUUGGGUCUUGGUUUCUUUUUGGUUGAGGCCCUUCUUAUGACUUUUCUUCUAAUCCUCAUUGUUAUCAUCAUGUAUUAAAAUUUCUUUUGUCCUCUUGAAAUUAUUGCUUCGAUUGUAGAAUCUCUUUGUGAUGAUAAAUUUUUAUUUUUUAAACUUUGGAGACUUUAGUUACAUUGUUUUGCAUGUAGAAUGCUCAUUCUUUAACAAUUUAAUUCAUGUGUUUUAAUUUUUUUUACUCUAUUUGAAAUCUAUACAAUUUGAUUAGUUUUGAGUGAAUAGUAAGAUUAUAUAAUGUUGUAUACAUGUGUAUACAAAUAUAUAUAUAUAUAUAUAUAUAGUAUUCUGAAAAAUGUAAUGGAUAGACAUAAAAUUGCUUUUCAAGUUCAAAAUCCUCUUUCAAAUCCUAUUGAUUUCAAUGACUAAGGCUUUAUCAAAGAAUUAUUACAAGGUCAAGACACAUCUUUGUUGUGGCAAUCAUGGUUCAUUAAAUUUUGUAAAAGCACAUUAAUGAUUUCUUACUAGAACAAGAAAUAGAGAAUAUAUAUAUAUUAUAGAAAAUUUAAGUUAUACAUUUAAGAGUUUUUUUAAGUAAAAAUCAUCUAUAAAUAAAUUUAUUAUUUGUAAACUAGUUGUAAUUUCUAAUCUUAAAAUUAUGUGUUAUAUACUAUGUCAUUUAUAAAUACUAUUUUUUAAC